RNAcentral lists this ribosomal RNA (253 nucleotides) under uncultured bacterium. Its description in RNAcentral is "partial 16S ribosomal RNA". It matches the Rfam family "Bacterial small subunit ribosomal RNA", at positions 524 to 776 of the family's 1533-position model. The record is from RNAcentral.
UACGUAGGUGGCAAGCGUUGUCCGGAAUCAUUGGGCGUAAAGAGCGCGUAGGCGGCUGGAAUAGUCCGGUGUGAAAUCCACAGGCUUAACCUGUGAAUGCCGCUGGAAACUGUCUGGCUAGAGUCCGGAAGGGGCGAGUGGAAUUCCUGGUGUAGCGGUGAAAUGCGCAGAUAUCAGGAGGAACACCGAUGGCGAAGGCAGCUCACUGGGACGGUACUGACGCUGAGGCGCGAAAGCGUGGGGAGCAAACAGG